GCCCGACUCCCCCGCGGCCGAGCGAGGCGCUCUUCCUCCGCCUUGUAGCCUCCCUGCAGCGGGUGCGAGUCACCAUCGCUUAGGAUAAGGCCGGGCCCGUAGUCCCACGAGAGAACCCCACAUCCGCACCCCAGAAAUCCGCUCCUCGGGGGGCCCUGCGCCAGCCCCCGGGUGGGGGGUGGGGGGGUUGGCGCGGGGCGUAAGGACUACAUCUCCCAGGAUGCAUCGCACUAGCGCGCUUGCGCGGUGCGGCCGGCGGCGGCGGUCUGUUCUCCGCUGAGGAGGAGUGGGGCAGAGGAGGGAGGCAGCGGGUGAGAGUUCAGAGUUCAGCAGCAGCAGCCCGAGCCCAUGAUUCCCAUAUGCCCUGUAGUUUCUUUCACCUAUGUGCCCAGCCGGCUGGGGGAAGAUGCCAAAAUGGCGACCGGCAACUACUUUGGAUUCACCCACAGCGGGGCGGCGGCGGCGGCGGCUGCGGCCCAGUAUAGCCAGCAGCCAGCUUCGGGUGUAGCCUAUUCCCAUCCAACUACAGUUGCUAGCUACACUGUCCAUCAGGCUCCAGUAGCUGCUCACACAGUUACUGCUGCUUACGCACCAGCAGCCGCCACAGUUGCAGUUGCCAGGCCUGCUCCAGUUGCUGUUGCAGCUGCUGCAACAGCUGCUGCAUAUGGAGGCUACCCCACUGCACACACAGCAACCGACUAUGGUUACACCCAGAGGCAACAAGAAGCACCACCACCACCACCCCCAGCUACUACACAGAACUACCAGGACUCAUAUUCGUAUGUAAGAUCCACAGCCCCUGCUGUAGCUUAUGAUAGUAAGCAGUACUACCAACAGCCAACAGCAACUGCUGCUGCUGUAGCUGCUGCUGCCCAGCCUCAGCCUUCUGUUGCUGAAACCUACUAUCAGACAGCCCCUAAAGCAGGUUAUAGCCAAGGUGCAACACAGUAUACUCAAGCGCAGCAAGCUCGGCAAGUGACAGCCAUAAAACCAGCCACACCAAGUCCAGCUACCACUACUUUCUCCAUUUAUCCUGUGUCCUCCACUGUACAACCGGUGGCAGCUGCAGCUACUGUGGUACCAUCCUAUACUCAGAGUGCUACUUACAGUACCACAGCAGUUACUUAUUCUGGUACAUCUUAUUCAGGUUAUGAAGCAGCCGUAUAUUCAGCUGCGUCUUCCUACUACCAACAGCAGCAGCAACAACAGAAGCAAGCAGCAGCAGCAGCUGCUGCUGCAGCAGCAACAGCUGCCUGGACAGGGACCACCUUUACUAAAAAAACACCAUUCCAAAAUAAACAACUGAAACCAAAACAGCCUCCCAAACCACCCCAGAUUCAUUAUUGUGAUGUUUGUAAGAUCAGCUGUGCUGGACCACAGACUUAUAAAGAGCACUUAGAAGGACAGAAACAUAAAAAAAAGGAAGCCGCAUUGAAAGCCUCUCAAAAUACCAGCAGCAGCAACAACUCAACUCGUGGGACACAAAAUCAGCUACGUUGCGAGCUCUGUGAUGUGUCUUGUACAGGAGCAGAUGCAUAUGCUGCCCACAUUCGUGGUGCUAAGCAUCAGAAAGUGGUUAAAUUACACACAAAACUUGGUAAACCUAUUCCUUCAACGGAACCAAAUGUUGUUAGCCAAGCUACUUCUUCAACAGCUGCAUCUGCUUCAAAACCAACUGCCUCUCCUUCAAGUAUUGGCGCAAGCAAUUGUACUCUGAACACGUCAUCAAUUGCAACUUCUUCAGUGAAAGGUCUUUCAACUACAGGAAACUCGUCUCUUAAUAGUACAUCCAACACUAAAGUGUCAGCGAUACCUACCAAUAUGGCUGCCAAGAAAACAUCUACACCCAAAAUAAACUUUGUUGGUGGAAAUAAGCUACAGUCAACAGGAAAUAAAACGGAAGACUUAAAAGGAAUUGACUGUGUUAAGAAUACUCCUGCUGCCUCUGCUGUGCAGAUUCCAGAAGUAAAGCAAGAUGCAGGGUCAGAACCAGUCACACCUGCGUCCCUUGCUGCUCUGCAGAGUGAUGUACAACCAGUGGGACAUGAUUAUGUUGAAGAGGUACGAAAUGAUGAAGGAAAAGUCAUUCGCUUCCAUUGUAAAUUAUGUGAAUGCAGCUUUAAUGACCCCAAUGCUAAAGAGAUGCACCUAAAAGGACGAAGACAUAGACUUCAGUAUAAAAAAAAAGUAAAUCCAGAUUUGCAAGUAGAAGUGAAGCCCAGUAUUCGUGCCAGAAAAAUUCAAGAAGAGAAAAUGAGAAAGCAAAUGCAGAAGGAGGAAUAUUGGCGGAGACGAGAAGAGGAGGAACGCUGGAGGAUGGAGAUAAGACGUUAUGAAGAAGACAUGUACUGGAGAAGAAUGGAGGAAGAGCAGCAUCAUUGGGAUGAUCGCAGACGAAUGCCUGAUGGCGGCUAUCCUCAUGGUCCUCCCGGCCCACUAGGUCUUUUGGGAGUCCGACCAGGCAUGCCUCCCCAGCCGCAGGGUCCUGCCCCCUUACGGCGUCCUGACUCAUCUGAUGAUCGUUAUGUAAUGACAAAGCAUGCAACUAUUUAUCCAACUGAAGAAGAGUUACAAGCCGUCCAGAAAAUUGUUUCUAUCACUGAGCGUGCUUUAAAGCUUGUUUCAGACAGUUUGUCGGAACAUGAGAAGAGCAAGAACAAAGAGGGAGAUGAUAAGAAAGAGGGAGGUAAAGACAGAGCUCUGAAAGGGGUGUUGCGAGUAGGCGUGCUGGCAAAAGGAUUACUUCUCCGAGGAGACAGGAAUGUCAACCUUGUUUUGCUGUGCUCAGAAAAACCUUCAAAGUCGUUAUUAAGCCGUAUUGCAGAAAACCUACCCAAACAGCUUGCUGUUAUAAGUCCUGAGAAGUAUGACAUAAAAUGUGCCGUGUCUGAGGCAGCGAUAAUUUUGAACUCGUGUGUGGAGCCCAAAAUGCAAGUCACUAUCACCCUGACAUCUCCAAUUAUUCGAGAAGAGAACAUGAGGGAAGGAGGCUAGAGCUAAUGGCCUACAGUCGUGUGUGAUUAUCAUACGUAUUCUCCGAGACCUUUGUCAACGAGUUCCAACGUGGUCUGAUUUUCCUAGCUGGGCUAUGGAGUUACUGGUGGAGAAGGCAAUUAGCAGUGCUUCUAGUCCUCAAAGCCCUGGAGAUGCCCUGAGAAGAGUAUUUGAGUGCAUUUCUUCAGGGAUUAUUCUCAAAGGCAGCCCUGGACUUCUGGACCCUUGUGAAAAGGAUCCCUUUGACACUUUGGCAACAAUGACUGACCAACAGCGUGAAGACAUUACAUCCAGUGCACAGUUUGCAUUGAGACUCCUUGCAUUCCGUCAGAUACACAAAGUUCUGGGGAUGGAUCCAUUACCACAAAUGAAUCAGCGCUUUAACAUCCACAACAACAGGAAACGAAGAAGGGAUAGUGAUGGAGUGGAUGGAUUUGAAGCUGAGGGGAAGAAAGACAAAAAGGAUUAUGAUAACUUUUAAAAAGUUUGUGUAAAUCUUCAGUGUUACAGUAGGUGCCGGUUUAUUGGCUGUUUUCCAUUCAUAUUAAUCUCUACUUUAAAAGUUUAUCAAGAGUAUAAAGAGUUUCAUGGAAGAACCAAGUUUUUCUAUGAUUAAAAACUUAUUGUACAGUGUCAGGUAUUAUAUGGAUGGAAAGAAAGAGAUUUGACUAGGGGGAAUAUAUUGGUCUUUCCCCCCCCCCACCCUUUUUCAUUAUUUUGAUUUUAUUGACUGGUUGCCCUUACUCCCUGUAUUUUUGUGUCUUUUAUUAACUAGUGCAUUGUGUUAUUAAAUCUUUUCUGUAUGUAAUACAGGAUUUGUGCUUCAGUUGCUCUGUGUAUUUUGAUACUUUUAUUGAGAAGUUCUGUUUGCUUUGACACAGUUGUAAGUUACUUUGUGUUAUAGAUGGCACCCUUUACCCUUACUACUUUAUAGCAGUGCGGUUUUUUUGUAACGUGAAACUGCAGGAGUUUUCCUUUGUUAUUCUGUAUGUGAAGGAUUACAAUAUAAAAGCUACCCUGCCAUCUAAGUGCUCAGAAAUAGCUGUUUCUGCAGAUCUUGUGGCAUUUGUCUAUCUAGUGUGAUAUAUAAAGGUGUAAUUAAGACAAAUUCCUUAAUCUAAUCAAGUUUGCUGUUAGUUGUGCAUUAGCAGUAUAAAAGCUAAUAUAUAUUAUAUGGUCUUGCAACAGUUUUAAAGCCUCUGCAUAAUUGAUAAAAAAAUGCAUGACAUUUUUGUUUUUAAUAGACAUUUAAAGUAAUAAUUUUAGGUUUAACACGUAGAUCUUUGUACAGUUGACUUUUUGACAUAGCAAGGCCAAAAAUAACUUUCUGAAUACUUUUUCUUCUGUACAAGUGGAAAGGGAAUUUUUCACAUCUAAGUGGGCUAUUGUUUUCAAAAGAACUUUAUCAUUGUGCAACUAACAAUAACUAGCCCUGACUAUGUGACAGUUCCCUGUUGAUGUGUGCAAUUACUCUAGCGGCUUCUACAGUCUUAACACAGUUGAAUGAUCCCCACAUCCUGUCACCCAGAUCAUUUAUAGGUCUAUUAACUGUGAGAUUGAUAAAGUAUUACUGAUUUAAAAAAAUAAGAGUAUCUAAGAAAAAAAAAAAACAGAAAAUUAUUUGGUGUGGCCAUCCAACAUGCUUAUGUCUUAUACAGAAUGCUAAUCCCCUGGCAGUGGUGUAAUGAGAGGUCACACCUUACUGUGAUGUGUGUGUGCUCUGGUGCACAGAUGUCAUUUUGUUGUCACAGCACUACAGUGAGAUACAGAAUAAACACUUAAAUUCAUGUAA
Molecule: RNA transcript, 4786 nt
Organism: Mus musculus (house mouse)
Lineage: Eukaryota; Metazoa; Chordata; Mammalia; Rodentia; Muridae
Gene: Zfr
Gene name: zinc finger RNA binding protein
Exons: 19
Source: RefSeq, marked validated